Theobroma umbraticum is the source of this 3110-nucleotide RNA transcript. It is a transcript of the gene named transferring glycosyl group transferase, with no coding region annotated. Lineage: Eukaryota; Viridiplantae; Streptophyta; Magnoliopsida; Malvales; Malvaceae. The record is from RefSeq and is a predicted model, not a curated record.
GAUAAAUCAAAAAUAAAAUAAAAAUUAAGAAAAAACGAGGUGGAUUUUGAUUUUAUUGGUUAUUUUUGUCCUAUCAUCUAUUGGACUAAAGAUAUUAAUCAAAGGUGAAAAGUAUUUAAUGAAACUAAAGCUCAAAUGCAUAAUUAUAAAUUUUUAAACUUCAAGAACCAAAAUUGAAAGUUUACUAUAGUUUUGUAAUCAAAUGUAUAAUUAGUACUUUAUCUAAAUGCAACAAAUUUUUUUCAAUUAUUUAAGUUAUAGUUUUAUAUUGAAUUUUGGGCUAGCACCGCCACAGCUCCAGUCUGAUUCUCUAAAAUACGUCUCCAUUUACUGAACUUGAGUCUAGAUCUUCACAUUCGGAAAGCAUCCAUCGCCAGCCCAGGGAAAAGCUUUUGCUAGCGUUGUAAAGAUCUAUGAAUUCUCCGGAUCUGUUACCAAAACACUGACCCGCCUGAAGAUGGUGGGCCCUCCAAAGAAACACUUCCUCGCCUUCCUCCUCCUCCUCUCCCUCUGCAUCCUCCUCCUCCUCCUUUGCUCCCCACACCCAAACUCCAUCUCUACCCAAACCUUUCCACUAAAUGCCCACUCCAUCCUCACCACCCCAACCUUUUCUCUCACCAUCAAAGUCCUCACUUUUAACCGCCUCAAGUCCCUCACCCGCUGCCUCACCUCUCUUUCCAACGCCUACUACCUUCCGGACCACCCCGUCCACCUCCACAUCUUCAUCGACCAUUUCCCAAACCAAUCCAAAUCUGACAUCGAUCCCAAACUUCAGGACUCGCUUGGAAUUCUGCAAUUUGUUGAUGGGUUUGAGUGGAAAUGGGGUCAAAAGAUCGUUCAUUACAGAACCACCAAUGUGGGUCUUCAGGCACAAUGGUUAGAAGCCUGGUGGCCAACUUCUGAUGAUGAGUUUGCCUUUGUUGUGGAAGAUGAUUUGGAGCUUUCACCGUUGUUUUUUAAGUAUUUGAGAGCUUUGAUUCUGAACUUUUAUUACAAUGCUUCCAAUUUUAGUCCUUUUGUCUAUGGGGCUUCUCUUCAGCGCCCAAGGUUUGUUCCAGGUAAACAUGGAAACAAGAUGCUACUCGAUAACACCUCAGGACUUUUCCUGUACCAACUGGUUGGCACCUGGGGUCAGCUUCUCUUUCCAAAGCCUUGGAAAGAGUUCAGGUUGUGGUAUGACGAUCACAAGGCCAAAGAGAUCAAGCCAUUUCUUGAAGGGAUGGUUACCACAGGAUGGUACAAAAAGAUGGGAGAAAGGAUAUGGACUCCUUGGUUCAUUAAAUUUAUUCACUCUCGUGGUUAUUUUAAUAUCUACACUAAAUUUCCGGAUGAGAAAUCACUUAGUGUCUCCCACAGGGAUGUCGGUGUUAACUAUGGAAAAACAGCAGGGCCAGACUCUCAGCUAUUGGAUGUGAAUUCUCUUGAUUCCAAUUUUCUGGAAAUGAAAUCUUUGAGUACCAUGAAGUGGUAUGAUUUCUGUUUCAGGGAAGUAGUUCCAGGAAGAGUUGUAAGGAACUUGAAUGAUCUUGGGUCUAUUCUUCCUUCUGUGCAGACCAGUGGAACUGUUUUGCUUGUCAGCCUAUUUGUGGCAUCAGAGGCAGUCAGUAGGAACCUUCUUUGCCACUUUGAGAGGCUAAAUAUUCGGAAUUACAUUUUCAUUGGUCCAGCUACUGAUUUUCUGUUUGAUCUUGCUCGAAGAGGAUAUCCUGUUAUUGAUGCAGACCAAUUUAUCAACAAUAUCAGAGCAGAUAAAUCAAUGGGAAUUCAAGAUUUGAAAGCUAGGUUUAUGAAUGAUUUUCUGUUGAAGGCGUAUGUUGUCAAAAAAUGUUUAGAGUUAAGUUAUAACACUUGGGUAGUGGAUGGAAACAUGGUUCUUGUCAAUAAUGAUCUGUUUCUUGAGUCUAUUGAUUCCACAUACAACUUCUAUGCAGGGGAGAGCUUGGAUGUUUUCUUUGUCAAGAACUCACCUUCAGCUCACAAAAUUUUCGCUGAUGAUUCUCUGUAUGAUGCUGCAGCUCUGCUGGAUAAAAACUCACUACCUAAAGAUAUCAGAAAUUUUGUAUCUGUAAUGGCAAGGUUACUGGAAAAAAAGGGAUUUAGAGUUAAGCGUAUUGAUGAGAAAAGCUUUGGCAAGAAAAUGGGUAACCAAAAUCUCAAUCGAGCCUUGGAGACUGAUAAAAGGGUGGUUUAUUGGUCUAGAGAGUUGGAUAUAGAUUCCAUUCAGAUGCGGCUUCGAGAAUUGAGUCUAUGGGUCAUAGAUAAUGACUCUUCCUGCACAGCAGUAGUUUGUCACAAGUCAUAGCAGUCACAGCAAUUUUUGAACUUCCAUCUGAUUCUAAAUUUAUUGUAAUUAGUGCGAGACAGGUCAUUGAAGCUCAAGGUAUCGUAAACGCCAACCAUGGCUUUUGACAGAGUGUGAGGCAUUAGCAUUGAAACAGAAGAAAUUUCAUGUAUCCACUCUUCAGUGCUGAGAUGCGCAUUGCAAGCAAUCAGCAAUCCAAGUAUGGCAGCACAUUUGACCACUUUUUGAUGCAUGUGCUAGGAAUGAUAAUGCUAAAAGAGUUCUGGGAGAUUGUUCAUAGAUAAUGUCUUGGCUAAAGGAGGUGGCGGAUAAAGUCAGAGGUGAUAGGAAUCUCACUGUAUGCAUGAAUCUCCGAAACUGAGCAAGCUGAGUUUGAGGUCAAGCAUGGAGGCCAAGGAUUUGGAAUUUUGUUGGAAUUCAGUCGGAAAUCAGAGAUGGUAAUUUGAGAUAAAAGAGGUGAGAUUUAUGGAAUUGGAUAGGAUGAUCUCUUAUGAUGUGGUUCAAAAUCACAUGUAGGAAAACAAAAAUGAAAAUACACUUACCUUGAGAAGGAUGCCUAAGAGAGGUAUAAAAUGGUUGCACCACGAGCAUCACCUGCACAUGCAAAGAUAGGUGGAUGAGGAGAGUGAUAAAAGGAAAGGAUACCUCUCUACACAAAGAUAAAUUCCUUUUUAAAGACAAUGUCAAGUCUGCCUUUGUGUGUAGUUCUUGCUCACAAAAGACAACAGAAGGAAGAAAUACAAGAGGAACAAAAAGAAUUGCAUCAGACCAUGGCAAAACCAAGUGAGCCAAAAUUGAAGCCAUUGAA